This 465-nucleotide ribosomal RNA is filed under the name uncultured bacterium. Its description in RNAcentral is "partial 16S ribosomal RNA". It matches the Rfam family "Bacterial small subunit ribosomal RNA", at positions 339 to 795 of the family's 1533-position model. The record is from RNAcentral.
CUACGGGAUGCAGCAGUGGGGAAUAUUGGACAAUGGGGGAAACCCUGAUCCAGCAAUGCCGCGUGUGUGAAGAAGGCCUGCGGGUUGUAAAGCACUUUCGGUUGGGAGGACUGCUUCUAGCACUAAUAUUGUUGGAAGUUGACGUUACCUUCAGAAGAAGCACCGGCUAACUCCGUGCCAGCAGCCGCGGUAAUACGGAGGGUGCAAGCGUUAAUCGGAAUUACUGGGCGUAAAGCGCGCGUAGGCGGCUAGAUCAGUCGGGUGUGAAAUCCCCGGGCUUAACCUGGGAACUGCAUCCGAUACUGUCUAGCUUGAGUACAGGAGAGGAGAGUGGAAUUCCACAUGUAGCGGUGAUAUGCGUAGAUAUGUGGAGGAACACCAAUGGCGAAGGCAGCUCUCUGGCCUGAUACUGACGCUGAGGUGCGAAAGCGUGGGGAGUAAACAGGAUUAGAUACCCGCGUAGUC